GCGGCUGUGGGAGUGGCUGUCAGCAGAUGGAAGAGAUGCUGCUGCUUCUGCCUUGUGAUGCUAGAGGAACCAGGGAGAUCAGGGAGGUUACUCCCUCACACCAAAACCUGGAACACAAGAUGAGAAACUCUUAUCAAGACCUAAUGUACACCUGUAAGAUGAGAUAUGAAAAUGAAGCACCUCCUAAACUACCAAGAGCAGGUGGAUUAACUUGGAUGUGAUUGCAGAAUCCACAUGACAGAUUCUAUGCCUAACCAUGAUAUAGGCUCAGAGUCAUUUUCAUUUUUUUCCAAUGGAUGUUUGCAGGGCCCUCCUUCAGAGAGGGGUGAUCAGAGGAGACAGGAAGAAUAAGCUACGGAGAAGUGCUGACCUUGUUUAUUGAGGAAUUUCUGAGUGUACCGGAGGAAUCACAACCCAGGGAGAAGUCAGACAGACAUCUCAGAAAAAGAAUGCUAACCAAAACAAGAAGGUUUUUACUGAUCCUCUUCAAUUCUCACUUGGAUGUAUAACUGUAUCACUUACAAGUUCAUCUUUUUUUACAUAAUAGAUGAGUUCCAAAGAACUACUAUGUAGAAAUAUUUUUCUAAGUAUUUUAUAACAUUUUAAUGUGCAAUGAAAAGUGCUUAUUUUAAAAAGGAUUACUUGGUGCUGUUCUCAUGAUAGUUCUUCCCACAACACAUGGGGAUUACAGGAGCUAU
RNAcentral lists this long non-coding RNA (698 nucleotides) under Homo sapiens (human). RNAcentral describes it as "HSALNT0251699". Lineage: Eukaryota; Metazoa; Chordata; Mammalia; Primates; Hominidae. The record is from RNAcentral.